This 253-nucleotide ribosomal RNA is filed under the name uncultured bacterium. RNAcentral's name for it is "partial 16S ribosomal RNA". It matches the Rfam family "Bacterial small subunit ribosomal RNA", at positions 524 to 776 of the family's 1533-position model. The record is from RNAcentral.
UACGUAGGUGGCAAGCGUUGUCCGGAAUUAUUGGGCGUAAAGGGCGCGUAGGCGGUCCAUUAAGUCAGAUGUGAAAUCCCGAGGCUCAACUUCGGGCGUGCAUUUGAAACUGGAGGACUAGAGUGCAGGAGAGGUAAGUGGAAUUCCUAGUGUAGCGGUGAAAUGCGUAGAUAUUAGGAGGAACACCAGUGGCGAAGGCGACUUACUGGACUGUAACUGACGCUGAGGCGCGAAAGCGUGGGGAGCAAACAGG